UGAAUACGAGAUGCUACGGCGUCGAAGCAGUCUAUGUCAUACUUCCAAGAAAAGCUCGCACUGUCAUAAACAAAUAAUGCCUGUACCUUAACCGACACAGGUGGGUAGGUAGAGUAUACUAAGGGGCGCGAGAUAACUCUCUCUAAGGAACUCGGCAAAAUGACUCCGUAACUUCGGGAGAAGGAGUGCCUUAUUUAUAAGGUUGCAAUAACAAGAUCCAAGCAACUGUUUAUCAAAAACACAGGUCUCCGCUAAGUCGUAAGACGAUGUAUGGGGGCUGACGCCUGCCCAGUGCCAGAAGGUUAAAGAAGUUGGUUAGCAUUCGCGAAGCUGAUAACUGAAGCCCUGGUGAACGGCGGCCGUAACUAUAACGGUCCUAAGGUAGCGAAAUUCCUUGUCGGGUAAGUUCCGACCCGCACGAAAGGCGUAAUGAUUUGGAUACUGUCUCGGAGAGGGGCUCGGUGAAAUAGACUUGUCUGUGAAGAUGCGGACUACCUGCACCAGGACAGAAAGACCCUAUGAAGCUUUACUGUAACUUGAGAUUGAAAUUGGACUUUACUUGCGCAGUAUAGGUGGGAGGCGUUGAUAAUAUUCUUGCGGGAUUAUUUGAGCCAUCAGUGAGAUACCACUCUUGUAAUGUUAGAUUUCUAACUUUGUAUCAUUAUCUGGUCAAAGGACAGUUUCAGGCGGGCAGUUUGACUGGGGCGGUCGCCUCCUAAACGGUAACGGAGGCGCACAAAGGUUUCCUCUGAACGGGUAGAAAUCGUAUCUAGAGUGUAAAGGCAUAAGGAAGCUUGACUGUGAGACCUACAAGUCGAGCAGGGACGAAAGUCGGUCUUAGUGAUCUGACGGUGCUGAGUGGAAAGGCCGUCACUCAACGGAUAAAAGUUACUCUAGGAUAACAGGCUGAUCUCCCCCAAGAGUUCACAUCGACGGGGAGGUUUGGCACCUCGAUGUCGGCUCAUCGCAUCCUGGGGCGGUAGUACGUCCCAAGGGUUGGGCUGUUCGCCCAUGAAAGCGGUACGCGAGCUGGGUUCAGAACGUCGUGAGACAGUUCGGUCCAUAUCCGGUGUAGGCCUUAGAAUAUUGAGAGGAGCCUUCUUUAGUACGAGAGGACCGAGAAGGACAUACCUCUGGUGUACCAGUUAUCGUGCCAACGGUAAACGCUGGGUAGCUAUGUAUGGAGUGGAUAACCGCUGAAAGCAACUAAGUGGGAAGCCCACCUCAAGAUAAGUA
RNAcentral lists this ribosomal RNA (1236 nucleotides) under metagenome. RNAcentral describes it as "bacterial LSU rRNA". It matches the Rfam family "Bacterial large subunit ribosomal RNA", at positions 1564 to 2810 of the family's 2925-position model. The record is from RNAcentral.